This 455-nucleotide ribosomal RNA is filed under the name Neisseria flava. RNAcentral describes it as "bacterial SSU rRNA". It matches the Rfam family "Bacterial small subunit ribosomal RNA", at positions 30 to 485 of the family's 1533-position model. Lineage: Bacteria; Pseudomonadati; Pseudomonadota; Betaproteobacteria; Neisseriales; Neisseriaceae. The record is from RNAcentral.
AUUGAACGCUGGCGGCAUGCUUUACACAUGCAAGUCGGACGGCAGCACAGAGAAGCUUGCUUCUUGGGUGGCGAGUGGCGAACGGGUGAGUAACAUAUCGGAACGUACCGAGCAGUGGGGGAUAACUAAUCGAAAGAUUAGCUAAUACCGCAUAUUUUCUGAGGAAGAAAGCAGGGGACCAUUUGGCCUUGCGCUGUUUGAGCGGCCGAUAUCUGAUUAGCUAGUUGGUGGGGUAAAGGCCUACCAAGGCGACGAUCAGUAGCGGGUCUGAGAGGAUGAUCCGCCACACUGGGACUGAGACACGGCCCAGACUCCUACGGGAGGCAGCAGUGGGGAAUUUUGGACAAUGGGCGCAAGCCUGAUCCAGCCAUGCCGCGUGUCUGAAGAAGGCCUUCGGGUUGUAAAGGACUUUUGUCAGGGAAGAAAAGGGCGGGGUUAAUACCUCUGUCUGAAGA